RNAcentral lists this ribosomal RNA (483 nucleotides) under uncultured bacterium. RNAcentral describes it as "bacterial SSU rRNA". It matches the Rfam family "Bacterial small subunit ribosomal RNA", at positions 30 to 507 of the family's 1533-position model. The record is from RNAcentral.
AUUGAACGCUGGCGGCAUGCCUUACACAUGCAAGUCGAACGGCAGCGGACCUUCGGGUGCCGGCGAGUGGCGAACGGGUGAGUAAUAUAUCGGAACGUACCUUUCGAGUAGGGGAUAACGUAGCGAAAGUUACGCUAAUACCGCAUAUUCUGUGAGCAGGAAAGCAGGGGAUCGCAAGACCUUGCGCUGAUUGAGCGGCCGAUAUCAGAUUAGCUAGUUGGUGAGGUAAAGGCUCACCAAGGCGACGAUCUGUAGCGGGUCUGAGAGGAUGAUCCGCCACACUGGAACUGAGACACGGUCCAGACUCCUACGGGAGGCAGCAGUGGGGAAUUUUGGACAAUGGGCGCAAGCCUGAUCCAGCCAUGCCGCGUGAGUGAAGAAGGCCUUCGGGUUGUAAAGCUCUUUCGGCCGGGAAGAAAUCGCACAGGUUAAUACCCUGUGUGGAUGACGGUACCGGAAUAAGAAGCACCGGCUAACUACGUG